This 253-nucleotide ribosomal RNA is filed under the name uncultured bacterium. RNAcentral describes it as "partial 16S ribosomal RNA". It matches the Rfam family "Bacterial small subunit ribosomal RNA", at positions 524 to 776 of the family's 1533-position model. The record is from RNAcentral.
UACGGAGGGUGCGAGCGUUGUCCGGAAUCACUGGGCGUAAAGGGCGCGUAGGUGGCUCGUGAAGCGUGCGGUGAAAGUCCGAGGCUCAACCUCGGAUCGGCCGUGCGGACUCGCGGGCUCGAGCGUUGUAGAGGCGGGUGGAAUUCCGGGUGUAGCGGUGGAAUGCGUAGAUAUGUGGAGGAAUACCGAUGGCGAAGGCAGCCCCCUGGGAUAACACUGACGCUCAUGCACGAAAGCGUGGGGAGCAAACAGG